GAUAACAGUUGGAAACGACUGCUAAUACCGCAUACGCCCUACGGGGGAAAGCAGGGGACCUUCGGGCCUUGCGCGAUUGGAUAUGCCCAGGUGGGAUUAGCUAGUUGGUGAGGUAAUGGCUCACCAAGGCGACGAUCCCUAGCUGGUCUGAGAGGAUGAUCAGCCACACUGGAACUGAGACACGGUCCAGAUUCAUACGGGAGGCAGCAGUGGGGAAUAUUGCACAAUGGGGGAAACCCUGACGCAGCCAUGCCGCGUGUGUGAAGAAGGCCUUCGGGUUGUAAAGCACUUUCAGCGAGGAGGAAAGGUUGAUGCCUAAUAGGUAUCAACUGUGACGUUACUCGCAGAAGAAGCACCGGCUAACUCCGUGCCAGCAGCCGCGGUAAUACGGAGGGUGCAAGUUUUAAUCGGAAUUACUGGGCGUAAAGCGCACGCAGGCGGUUGGAUAAGUUAGAUGUGAAAGCCCCGGGCUCAACCUGGGAAUUGCAUUUAAAACUGUCCAGGUAGAGUCUUGUAGAGGGGGGUAGAAUUCCAGGUGUAGCGGUGAAAUGCGUAGAGAUCUGGAGGAAUACCGGUGGCGAAGGCGGCCCCCUGGACAAAGACUGACGCUCAGGUGAGAAAGUGUGGGGAGCAAUCAGGAUUAGAUACCCUGGUAGUCCACCCUGUAAAAGAUGUCGAUUUGGAGGCUGUGUCAAUGAGAAGUGGCUUCCGGAGCUAACGCGUAAAUCGACCG
Molecule: ribosomal RNA, 733 nt
Filed under: Aeromonas hydrophila
Lineage: Bacteria; Pseudomonadati; Pseudomonadota; Gammaproteobacteria; Aeromonadales; Aeromonadaceae
Description: bacterial SSU rRNA
Rfam family: Bacterial small subunit ribosomal RNA
Source: RNAcentral